AAAAUAAUAAACAGACGACAUAUUUAACAAUAAUAAUAACACAAUCAUUGAGAAAACAUCUGAAGCAGUUCCUGAGAAGAGAGAAAAGAAGAAAAGUUAUUAACAUGUUAAUGUUGUUAGUGUGUCUGUGUGUACAUCUAAUUGUUAGUGUGUAUGUGUGUACAUCGAAUUGUUAGUGUGUCUGUGUGAACAUCGAAUUGUCAGUGUGUCUGUGUGUAGAUCUAAAUAUUAAUAUGUCUUUGUGUACAUCUAAAUAUUAGUGUGUGUCUUUGUUUAGAACCAGAUGUUAGUGUGUCUGUGUGUACAUCUAAAUAUUAAUGUGUCUUUGUGUACAUCUAAAUGUUAGUGUGUCUGUGUGUACAUCUAAAUAUUGUUGUGUCUGUGUGUACAUCUAAAUAUUAAUGUGUCUUUGUGUACAUCUAAAUGUUAGUGUGUCUGUGUGUACAUCUACAUAUUAAUGUGUAUUUGUGUACAUCUAAAUGUUAGUAAGUGUCUUUGUUUAGAACCAAAUGUUAGUGUGUAUGUGUGUACAUCUAAUUGUUAGUGUGUCUGUGUGAAUAUCGAAUUGUUAGUGUGUCUGUGUGUACAACUAAUUGUUAGUGUGUCUGUGUGUACAUCAAAAUAUUAAUGUGUCUUUGUGUACAUCUAAAUGUUAGUGUGUGUCUUUUUUAGAACCAAAUGUUAGUGUGUCUCUGAGUACAUCUGUGUGUAUCUGUGUGUGUGUGAGUGUGGGUGUGUGUGUGUGUCAUGCGUAGAUCUGGAUUUGCUCCUGAGGGGUUGACAUGACGUCCUGAUGGCGUCCUGAUGGCGUCCUGAUGGCGUCCCGUUGACGUGGCGUCCUGAUGGCGUCCUGUUGGUCUGCAGACAAGGAGAAGAGACGUGAGGAGGAUCAUCAGGAUGUGUCUGUGUGUACAUCUAAUUGUUAGUGGAUCUGUGUGUACAUCUAAAUAUUAAUGUGUCUUUGUGCAGAACCAGAUGUUUGUGUGUUUUUGUGUACUUCUGAAUACUAAUGUGUCUGUGUGUACAUCUAAAUGUUAGUGUGUCUGUGUGUACAUCUAAUUGUUAUUGUGUCUUUGUGUACAUCUAAAUAUUAGUGUGUGUCUUUGUUUAGAACCAAAUGUUAAUGUGUCUGUGUGUACAUCUAAAUGUUAAUGUGUCUGUGUGUACAUCCUAAUGUUAGAGCGUGUCUGUGUUUAGAACCAAAUGUUAGUGUGUAUGUGUGCACAUCU
Molecule: long non-coding RNA, 1229 nt
Organism: Gasterosteus aculeatus aculeatus (three-spined stickleback)
Lineage: Eukaryota; Metazoa; Chordata; Actinopteri; Perciformes; Gasterosteidae
Source: Ensembl